AUUGAACGCUGGCGGCAUGCCUUACACAUGCAAGUCGAACGGUAACGGGCCUUCGGGUGCCGACGAGUGGCGAACGGGUGAGUAAUACAUCGGAACGUGCCCGAUCGUGGGGGAUAACGAGGCGAAAGCUUUGCUAAUACCGCAUACGAUCUACGGAUGAAAGCAGGGGACCGCAAGGCCUUGCGCGGACGGAGCGGCCGAUGGCAGAUUAGGUAGUUGGUGGGAUAAAAGCUUACCAAGCCGACGAUCUGUAGCUGGUCUGAGAGGAUGAUCAGCCACACUGGGACUGAGACACGGCCCAGACUCCUACGGGAGGCAGCAGUGGGGAAUUUUGGACAAUGGGCGCAAGCCUGAUCCAGCCGCGCCGCGUGCAGGAUGAAGGCCUUCGGGUUGUAAACUGCUUUUGUACGGAACGAAAAGCCUUCUUUUAAUACAGGAGGGUCAUGACGGUACCGUAAGAAUAAGCACCGGCUAACUACGUG
RNAcentral lists this ribosomal RNA (482 nucleotides) under uncultured bacterium. Its description in RNAcentral is "partial 16S ribosomal RNA". It matches the Rfam family "Bacterial small subunit ribosomal RNA", at positions 30 to 507 of the family's 1533-position model. The record is from RNAcentral.